AUUACCAAGUUAAUUAUAGGAAAGCCUUACUGCUGGCAUUAGUUCUCAGAGAACAGACUGGGCCUUAGGAAGCAGCUUCUGAGUCCGAGGAAGUCUACUCCAGACUGGUUUUCACAUCUAUACUGAAGUGAAGUGAAGGUAAAUUGUUUUCAGUUCUCUGUACAAGAACUGAACAUGCUCUAGGCUACUGUCUUGC
This 196-nucleotide long non-coding RNA is filed under the name Anas platyrhynchos platyrhynchos (common mallard). RNAcentral's name for it is "lncRNA (ENSAPLG00000031230.1)". The record is from RNAcentral. Lineage: Eukaryota; Metazoa; Chordata; Aves; Anseriformes; Anatidae.